AGUCGACGGACCCUUCGGGGUUAGUGGCGGACGGGUGAGUAACACGUGGGAACGUGCCUCUAGGUUCGGAAUAGCUCCUGGAAACGGGCGGUAAUGCCGAAUGUGCCCUUCGGGGGAAAGAUUUAUCGCCUUUAGAGCGGCCCGCGUCUGAUUAGCUAGUUGGUGGGGUAAUGGCCCACCAAGGCUACGAUCAGUAGCUGGUCUGAGAGGAUGACCAGCCACAUUGGGACUGAGACACGGCCCAAACUCCUACGGGAGGCAGCAGUGGGGAAUCUUGCGCAAUGGGCGAAAGCCUGACGCAGCCAUGCCGCGUGUAUGAUGAAGGUCUUAGGAUUGUAAAAUACUUUCACCGGUGAAGAUAAUGACUGUAGCCGGAGAAGAAGCCCCGGCUAACUUCGUGCCAGCAGCCGCGGUAAUACGAAGGGGGCUAGCGUUGCUCGGAAUUACUGGGCGUAAAGGGAGCGUAGGCGGACAUUUAAGUCAGAGGUGAAAUCCCGGAGCUUAACUUCGGAACUGCCUUUGAUACUGGGUGUCUUGAGUGUGAGAGAGGUAUGUGGAACUCCGAGUGUAGAGGUGAAAUUCGUAGAUAUUCGGAAGAACACCAGUGGCGAAGGCGACAUACUGGCUCAUUACUGACGCUGAGGCUCGAAAGCGUGGGGAGCAAACAGGAUUAGAUACCCUGGU
Molecule: ribosomal RNA, 684 nt
Filed under: uncultured bacterium
Lineage: Bacteria
Description: bacterial SSU rRNA
Rfam family: Bacterial small subunit ribosomal RNA
Source: RNAcentral